RNAcentral lists this long non-coding RNA (484 nucleotides) under Zonotrichia albicollis (white-throated sparrow). RNAcentral's name for it is "lncRNA (ENSZALG00000016722.1)". Lineage: Eukaryota; Metazoa; Chordata; Aves; Passeriformes; Passerellidae. The record is from RNAcentral.
CUGUAACAGAAGAUGUUUAUCUAGCUUUAAUUUUAGGGCCUGGUUUCUAAAAAUCUUAAUUGACUCCUUUCAAAUGUAUUUUAUCUAGUGAUAAUGCUACAUUUCAAGCAACAAUUAGGACAGAUUCAUCUACUCAUGCUCCUCUCGCCACAUAACUCAGCACCAUGGACAGAGGUUCUCCCUAAUCCUGGAAAUUCUGUUGGACCUAUUAUCAAGGGAAGGUUUUACCCCAAGAUUUAUAAUCCUGUGCCAUAGUGUCAGCCUCAGGAAACAGAUGCAUCAGUUAAGCCACAGUCAUAGACAAGGGGGACCACCUAUUCUCAGGCAGCAAAGGGCAGCAGCCCUGCAGGGCUCUUGCCAGCCCUUAGAGCCCCUAAUUGUCCUCAGCUGGGCCUGCCUACUGCUAUUUAAGCUCCAGCUGAGGAGCAUUUCCUGUUAUUGCUUCUUCUGCUUGGCUGCUGGGGGAACUGGGCUUCAUCUUUGA